RNAcentral lists this ribosomal RNA (137 nucleotides) under uncultured eukaryote. Its description in RNAcentral is "partial 18S ribosomal RNA". It matches the Rfam family "Eukaryotic small subunit ribosomal RNA", at positions 1299 to 1458 of the family's 1831-position model. The record is from RNAcentral.
UGGUGGAGUGAUUUGUCUGCUUAAUUGCGAUAACGAACGAGACCUUAACCUGCUAAAUAGCCCGGUCCGCUUUGGCGGGCCGCUGGCUUCUUAGAGGGACUAUCGGCUCAAGCCGAUGGAAGUUUGAGGCAAUAACA